Clupea harengus (Atlantic herring) is the source of this 1081-nucleotide long non-coding RNA. RefSeq lists it as uncharacterized. The record is from RefSeq and is a predicted model, not a curated record. NCBI's taxonomy places the organism in Eukaryota, Metazoa, Chordata, Actinopteri, Clupeiformes, Clupeidae. The transcript is spliced from 5 exons.
CCUUGUCAGGCUGACAAUAAAAUCAACUAUCGAUUAUAUGAUUUUGAGCUUGUAUCCACUAUUGUUGUUCAAUGAUAUUCACUGUCCUCCCGGCUCCCGAUAAGUUAAGCUAACUAAAUUUAGCGUGCUAGCUAGCAUGGCGAGUUGCCAUUAACUAGCUAGCUACAAACGUCAGCCAGCAAUGCAAAAUCAGAAUGAUAUGGCAGUAACUACUUCAUUACCAGGCUAUCUAGUUAAAUUACAGGAAACCAGCCAUCAAGUACAUAUAAUUGAGUUGUAUCAUUGUCAACACAAGUUUUUUGUUUUAUUUUUCGUUUUAAAGAACAGGAAAUUGAUGGAGACUACUGGGCCUCACUGAACGGAUGGUUGAAGAACUAUCCCCGUCUAUGAAAUUGCAGGUGAUGUUUGUGAAGGAACUGAACUAGCUCCUAGAACAACAUGAAGUUGGAUUGCCCCUGGACCAUGCUGACAGCAUAGGCAAAAGACUGUCCUGUCUAGACUGUCCUGUGCCAGUGUUGAGAAUGAUGCUUCGACAAAGACCAUGCUCGUCUUCUUUGACCCAACCAUGGCUAACAGUAUUCAGUCUGCCCACCUUCCCCCCAGAAAAAGUACCCAAACCAUAAAAAAUAUACAGAUGUUCUGGGAUCUCAUCACCAGAUUUCCGUUUCUUGGAGAACACAGCUCCUCUGGUAUGUUCUUUCCCAACUGUUAUGCAAAACAUUAUUCCUCAGUUCAAUUUCUAUACUACUUUGAUUUUGUGCCAGCCUCAUAAUUUAUGUCUAUACCCACAGGAGACCCUACUUGAGUGUCUGAGGAACAAAAUAAAAAAAGAAAGGUCACCUUUAGGCAACUUGACGUCCAGGAAAUUAAGAGAAAGUUUGGUGCUGGAAGAAACAGAAUUGUGGACCAUGUGCCUCUGGAGGAACCACCUGGACAUCAGAGAGAAAAUAAGUGCAGAUUGGAAAACGCAGUCCAGAUGCUUUCUGGGAAUUAUCCAACACAAGAGGUUUGCAAUAUUUUUGUGAAUGAGAUACGGAAUUAUAUUCUCUAUUGUUUAAACAAGGUAUGUGUUGGUUUUUAA